This 200-nucleotide ribosomal RNA is filed under the name uncultured bacterium. Its description in RNAcentral is "partial 16S ribosomal RNA". It matches the Rfam family "Bacterial small subunit ribosomal RNA", at positions 8 to 216 of the family's 1533-position model. The record is from RNAcentral.
AGAGUUUGAUCCUGGCUCAGGAUGAACGCUGGCGGCGUGCCUAAUACAUGCAAGUCGAGCGAAGUUCUUCGGGACUUAGCGGCGAACGGGUGAGUAACACGUGGGCAACCUGCCCCUUAGAUUGGGAUAACUUCGGGAAACUGAAGCUAAUACCGAAUAAUCUUCUUUUUCACAUGGGAGAGAAGUAAAAGGCUUCGGCC